This 428-nucleotide ribosomal RNA is filed under the name Bacillota bacterium. RNAcentral's name for it is "Firmicutes bacterium partial 16S ribosomal RNA". It matches the Rfam family "Bacterial small subunit ribosomal RNA", at positions 355 to 776 of the family's 1533-position model. The record is from RNAcentral. Lineage: Bacteria; Bacillati; Bacillota.
UAGGGAAUCUUCGGCAAUGGACGGAAGUCUGACCGAGCAACGCCGCGUGAGUGAAGAAGGUUUUCGGAUCGUAAAGCUCUGUUGUUAGAGAAGAACGUUGGUAGGAGUGGAAAAUCUACCAAGUGACGGUAACUAACCAGAAAGGGACGGCUAACUACGUGCCAGCAGCCGCGGUAAUACGUAGGUCCCUAGCGUUGUCCGGAUUUAUUGGGCUUAAAGCGAGCGCAGGCGGUUCUUUAAGUCUGAGGUUAAAGGCAGGGGCUUACCAUUGUACGCUUUGGAAACGGGAGGACUUGAGUGCAGAAGGGGAGAGUGGAAUUCCAUGUGUAGCGGUGAAAUGCGUAGAUAUAUGGAGGAACACCGGUGGCGAAAGCGGCUCUCUGGUCUGUAACUGACGCUGAGGCUCGAAAGCGUGGGGAGCAAACAGG